RNAcentral lists this ribosomal RNA (1353 nucleotides) under Periphyllus koelreuteriae. RNAcentral's name for it is "16S large subunit ribosomal RNA". The record is from RNAcentral. Lineage: Eukaryota; Metazoa; Arthropoda; Insecta; Hemiptera; Aphididae.
AUAAUUGAUUUUAUUAAUAUAAUUAUUUUUUUUUAUUAUUUUAUAAAAGUUAUUUAUUUUUUUAAUGUUUUAGUAUUUAUUAAAAAUAAAUUUUUAGAUUUAUAGUUUAUUAGUAUUGUGAAAGAAUCAUUUAAAUUAAUAGAAGAAUUUUUUUAGUACCUUUUGUAUCAGGGUUAAUUAAAAUUUUUAAUUUUAUUUUAAAUUCUCAAAAUUUAUAGAGUUAAUUUUAUUAUUAAUUUAUUGUUAUAUAAAUAUUUAAAAAAUAUUAUUAGUUUAGAAAUUUAAUUCGUUAUAUUAUAUUUAGUUAUUUAAGAUUUAAAUUUAAUUUAGAAUUUUAAAAGUUUAUAUUAAUUUUAUUUAUUAAUAUUUUAAAAUUGGAUUAUUUUAGGGAUAAGCUUAAAAUUUUUAUAUAAUAAAUUUUAAUUAUGAAUAAUUAAUAGGAUUAGAAAUUUUUAAAAUAAGUUUGUAAAAAUUUAUUAUUUAUUUAAUUUAUAUUUAUUAAAAUUUUAUUUAUUUUUAUUAUUAAAUUUUAUAAAUUAAUUUUUAAUUUAUAGUAAUAAUGAGUAAAUUAGUAUAAUAAAAAUUUAUAAAUUAUGAAUUCGGCAAAUAUUAUUUUCAUCUGUUUAUCAAAAACAUUGUAUUAAGUUUUAUUUAAUAUAGGAUCUGCUCAAUGAAUUAUUUAAAUAGCUGCAGUAUUUUGACUGUGCAAAGGUAGCAUAAUAAUUAGUCUUUUAAUUGAGGACUUGAAUGAAAGAUUUGAUGAGAAAUAAACUUUAUUAUUUAUAUAAUUAAAAUUUUAUUUUUAAGUAAAAAAGCCUAAAUAUUUUAAAGGGACGAUAAGACCCUAUAAAACUUUAUAAAUAAUAAUUUUUGAUUUUUUGGAUUUUAAAAAAUUAUAUAUAAUAUUAUAUUUUUAUGAUAAUUUAUGUAAAUAUAUUAAAUAUAAUAUAAAUAUAUACAUAUAUAUAUAUAUAUAUAUAUAUUUAAAUUUUCUUAUUUAUUUUAUUGGGGUGAUAAAAAAAAAUAAUUAACUUUUUUUAAAUUGUUACAUAGUUUAAUGGAAAUUUGAAUUAAAAUUUUUAAUUAUAAGAAAAAGUUACUUUAGGGAUAACAGCGUAAUUAAUUUUUUAAGUUCAAAUUUAAAAAUUAGUUUGCGACCUCGAUGUUGAAUUAAGAAUAUUUUUAGGUGCAAAAUUUUAAAUAUUAGGUCUGUUCGACCUUAAAAUCUUACAUGAUUUGAGUUCAAACCGGUGUAAGCCAGGUUGGUUUCUAUCUUUUAUUAAUUGAAUUAUUUUAGUACGAAAAGAUUUAGUAAUUAAAUUAAAUUUUUAUUUAAUGAAUUAAAAUAAUUUA